AGGGUCAGCCAGGGCUGUGGAGUGUUACCCCAGCGCCAUCCAGGGCUGUAGGGCAUUACCCCAGCGCCAUCCAGGGCUGUGGAGUGUUACCCCCAGCAUCAACCAGGGACGUGGAGUGUUACCCCAGUGUCAACCAGGGCUGUGGAGUGUUACCCACACAUCAGUCAGGGCCGCGGAGUGUUACCCUAGAGUCAGCUGGGGCCAUAGAGUGUUACCUGAGCGUCAGCCGGGGCCACAAGUGUUACCCCAGGGUCAGCCGUGGAGUGUUACCCCAGUGUCUGCUGGGGCCAUGGAAUGUUUCUGUUGUCACCCCAGAGGAGGGUGGGGCAGAGCGGGGGUUCAGUCAUCCACUGGCC
Molecule: long non-coding RNA, 356 nt
Filed under: Homo sapiens (human)
Lineage: Eukaryota; Metazoa; Chordata; Mammalia; Primates; Hominidae
Description: HSALNT0331352
Source: RNAcentral